Molecule: ribosomal RNA, 481 nt
Filed under: uncultured bacterium
Lineage: Bacteria
Description: partial 16S ribosomal RNA
Rfam family: Bacterial small subunit ribosomal RNA
Source: RNAcentral
GUUGAACGCUGGCGGCGUGCUUAACACAUGCAAGUCGAACGAAGCACUUUAUUUUAUUUCCUUCUUGACUGAUUAUUUUGUGACUGAUUGCUGGACGUGUGCGUAACGCUUGGGUAUCCUGCCUUGUACCGGGCGCUAAUAGUUCGUACCUGCUGCUAAUACCGCAUAAGCGCACAGCAUCCCCUGAUUCAGUGUUAAAAACUCCUGUGGUAUAAGAUUUACCCGCGUUGGAUUCGCUCGUUGGUGAGGUACGUGCCUACCAAGGCGACGAUCCAUAGCCGAGAUGAGAGGGAGACCGGACACAUUGGGACUGAGACACAGCCCAAAAUCCUACGGGAGGGAGCAGUGGGGAAUAUUGCACAAUGGGCGAAAGGCUGAUGCAGCGACGACGGGUGAGCGAAGAAGUAUGUCGGUAUGGAAAGCAAUAUAAGAAGGGAAGAUAAUGACGGUACCUGAAGAAGAAGCACCGGCUAAAUACGUG